Molecule: ribosomal RNA, 496 nt
Filed under: uncultured bacterium
Lineage: Bacteria
Description: partial 16S ribosomal RNA
Rfam family: Bacterial small subunit ribosomal RNA
Source: RNAcentral
GAUGAACGCUGGCGGCGUGCCUAAUACAUGCAAGUCGAGCGAACAGACGAGGAGCUUGCUCCUCUGACGUUAGCGGCGGACGGGUGAGUAACACGUGGAUAACCUACCUAUAAGACUGGGAUAACUUCGGGAAACCGGAGCUAAUACCGGAUAAUAUAUUGAACCGCAUGGUUCAAUAGUGAAAGACGGUUUUGCUGUCACUUAUAGAUGGAUCCGCGCCGCAUUAGCUAGUUGGUAAGGUAACGGCUUACCAAGGCGACGAUGCGUAGCCGACCUGAGAGGGUGACCGGCCACACUGGAACUGAGACACGGGCCAGAUUCCUACGGGAGGCAGCAGUAGGGAAUCUGCCGCAAUGGGCGAAAGCCUGACGGAGCAACGCCGCGUGAGUGAUGAAGGUCUUCGGAUCGUAAAACUCUGUUAUUAGGGAAGAACAAAUGUGUAAGUAACUAUGCACGUCUUGACGGUACCGAAUCAGAAAGCCACGGAUAACUACGU